UGGGGAAUCUUGCGCAAUGGGCGAAAGCCUGACGCAGCCAUGCCGCGUGAAUGAUGAAGGUCUUAGGAUUGUAAAAUUCUUUUCACCGGGGACGAUAAUGACGGUACCCGGAGAAGAAGCCCCGGCUAACUUCGUGCCAGCAGCCGCGGUAAUACGAAGGGGGCUAGCGUUGCUCGGAAUUACUGGGCGUAAAGGGAGCGUAGGCGGAUAGUUCAGUCAGAGGUGAAAGCCCAGGGCUCAACCUUGGAACUGCCUUUGAUACUGGCUAUCUUGAGUUUGGGAGAGGUGUGUGGAACUCCGAGUGUAGAGGUGAAAUUCGUAGAUAUUCGGAAGAACACCAGUGGCGAAGGCGACACACUGGCCCAAUACUGACGCUGAGGCUCGAAAGCGUGGGGAGCAAACAGGAUUAGAUACCCCCGUAGUCCCUGAGCGGGCUGGCAAGGCGCAU
This 448-nucleotide ribosomal RNA is filed under the name uncultured bacterium. Its description in RNAcentral is "bacterial SSU rRNA". It matches the Rfam family "Bacterial small subunit ribosomal RNA", at positions 355 to 825 of the family's 1533-position model. The record is from RNAcentral.